CACCCUCUCCCCUUUCAGUAUCGAAGAAGCCUGAAGUCUAACUCAGAUGAGAUGGUUCUGUGGAAAGUCGGUCAUUCUUCGGAAUGAAGUCACCAUUCCUUCCCUCGAUACGUCGUCUCUCGAUUUAUUGGCCUGGCAUGUGUGUCCUCUCUCGAUUUAUUGGCCUGGCACGGGCUGAGCAGUAGGAGCUUAGACUCGAUAACAAAUGAAGAACCUCUUUCUCCGUUCUUUCCUACCACUGCCUCCCAAGCCUCAACUUUCUACCCCGCCACCGAAGAACAGGGGGCUGAAGAACCCGUAGACCAUGAUCAGCAUCACAGGAACUGGGAGCAAGGCCAGCACUCCCAGGAGCACAAUGGGAUAAGAAUCCUGGUGCCUGGGGAGACGGAGCAGAGCGGGGAGCAGGCUCUGAGGCUGACCCGGCCCCUGCCCUCGUUUCCCACUGCCAUCCUCUCUAUCACAUGUCCAGCCCAGCUUCCCGUCUCCCACCUCGCAUUCAGCAAGUGACCAGAGUGAGUUCCCGGGGCGGGUCUUCUGUGUCCUUUGCCCCUGAGGUCUGUUCAGGCACAGGAACAGACAGGUAAAAGGGCAUUGAACCCAGGCGCCCCCGGUACCUGCUGCGGGGGGAUAAUCGGUUGAGGCGAGGUCUGCUGGUGGUGGCGGGCAAUCCGGUGGGCAGGCACCCAGCCUCAGUGGACGUGGAGGCCGGGCCGGCAGAGGGGGCUCGGGCACUGCUGGGAGACGCAGUCACUGUCUGGGACCCCGUGGUCCCCCUGGGCUCCAAGGUGGAGGGGCUGGUGCCAGUCACGGAGGUCCGUCUGACGGUCCCGGUGGGGGAGGGCAAGAGUCUGGCCAAGGUGAGGAAUCCAGCUGUGAGCACCGGCACGCUGGUGGUGAAAGGGGAUUCAGGGCCUGAGGUAGGGAUGGGGCCGGUGGGGAUGACAGUUCCGCUCUUGAGGACGGUGGCCAGCUUCGUAAGAGGAGUGUUUCUCUUGGUCGUGGAGGCUGAGGAACCAGGAACAUGAGAUGAGUAGGGGGCCGUGGUGCUGGAAGCAGAUUCUGGCAGCCCACACCCUUGUCUGGGUGCGGGGGUAGGGGCCUGUCCUUGUCUCCCCUCCUUGACCUUGGACCUAGAAUUCUGUGCUGCUCAGGGACCAGGUGUGUGUAUGCUCAGCGAGUGGGGUCAGGGAGGAGGCAGUAGGCACAGGAAAGAAGGAAAAAUCGGAGUUCCCAUCAUGGUGUAGUGGAAAUGAAUCUGACUAGGAGCCAUGAGGCUGUGGGUUCGAUCCCUGGCCUCGCUCAGCGGGUUAAGGAUCUGGGGUUGCCGUGAGCUGUGGUGUAGGCCAGCAGCAACAGCUCCAAUUAGACUCCUAGCCUGGGAACCUUCAUACGCUGCAGGUGUGGCCCUAAGAAGACAAAAUACAACAACCAAAAAAAAAAAAAA
This is a long non-coding RNA of Sus scrofa (pig), 1444 nucleotides long. RefSeq lists it as uncharacterized. Lineage: Eukaryota; Metazoa; Chordata; Mammalia; Artiodactyla; Suidae. The record is from RefSeq and is a predicted model, not a curated record.